This 795-nucleotide ribosomal RNA is filed under the name Mammaliicoccus sciuri. RNAcentral describes it as "bacterial SSU rRNA". It matches the Rfam family "Bacterial small subunit ribosomal RNA", at positions 33 to 809 of the family's 1533-position model. Lineage: Bacteria; Bacillati; Bacillota; Bacilli; Caryophanales; Staphylococcaceae. The record is from RNAcentral.
ACGCUGGCGGCGUGCCUAAUACAUGCAAGUCGAGCGAACAGAUGAAAAGCUUGCUUCUCUGAUGUUAGCGGCGGACGGGUGAGUAACACGUGGGUAACCUACCUAUAAGACUGGGAUAACUCCGGGAAACCGGGGCUAAUACCGGAUAAUAUUUUGAACCGCAUGGUUCAAUAGUGAAAGACGGUUUCGGCUGUCACUUAUAGAUGGACCCGCGCCGUAUUAGCUAGUUGGUAAGGUAAUGGCUUACCAAGGCGACUAUACGUAACCGACCUGAGAGGGUGAUCGGCCACACUGGAACUGAGACACGGUCCAGACUCCUACGGGAGGCAGCAGUAGGGAAUCUUCCGCAAUGGGCGAAAGCCUGACGGAGCAACGCCGCGUGAGUGAUGAAGGUCUUCGGAUCGUAAAACUCUGUUGUUAGGGAAGAACAAAUUUGUUAGUAACUGAACAAGUCUUGACGGAACCUAACCAAAAAGCCCCGGCUAACUACGUGCCAACAGCCGCGGUAAUACGUAGGUGGCAAUCGUUAUCCGGAAUUAUUGGGCGUAAAGCGCGCGUAUGCGGUUUCUUAACUCUGAUGUGAAAGCCCACCGUUCAACCGUGAAGGGUCAUUGGAAACUGGGAAACUUGAAGUGCAAAAUAGAAUAGUGCAUUUCCAUGUGUACGGCGAAAUGCACAACCUAUGGAGAAAACACCCGUGGCGAAGUGCCUUCCUGUUCUGUAACCGACGCUGAGGUGCAAAACCGUAGGGAUCAAACAGGAUUACAUCCCUCUGGUAACCCACACCGUCAACGA